Molecule: long non-coding RNA, 1925 nt
Filed under: Sus scrofa (pig)
Lineage: Eukaryota; Metazoa; Chordata; Mammalia; Artiodactyla; Suidae
Description: lncRNA (ENSSSCG00060014032.1)
Source: RNAcentral
GAGCCUCUCGGAGUUGCUGCAGCCUUGGACCUCCGCCAACUAGGUAUUGCUACCCCAGAAUUCCCCGCUAAAAGCCCACCUUCCUGCCCAGACCACUUCCGGCUCCUGAUAGGCUUGAGAUUUGCAUGCCGCGCACGCGGAGUUUGUUCCUUCGGCGAGUUGGGAUGCUGCCUCCCAGCCCCGAUGCUGGUCUGCGGGUGACAGCCCUUCUCUCACACCUGCCUGUGCCUCUGGGGCUGCGAGCUGCUGCACGCUCCUUCCUUCUGGACUAAAAGAAAAAAAAAAUGGAAUUUGUCUUCCCUCUGAAAAGCAGGAUAUCAACAUGUAGAAUGAAUUUCAUAUCAUCGCUGGACUGUCUGCAAAGCACACUGGGUCUGUUACAUGACAUGACAGAAAUAAAGAAGACUCUGGGGAAAUGCAUUUUGUUUACACUCUGCUCUGCUCUAAUGCUAUUCUCAUUUAAAGAUUGUGGCAGAUCCUUAAAAAACAAGGGGCCUUAAAAAUAUUUACGAAGAAAAUUUGUUAAGAUCUCUCAAGCCUUUGAAGCAGAAAAAAAUGUUUUUUGAUCUAUGAAUGGUAUGAAGCUUUCUGACUGCAGUUGGGAAGUCAGUAGCCUGAUCCAUUGGUUCUGUGCAUCAGUGUGGCAACAUCAGCAAACAUUGUGUGAGGCAUAUUCUCCAAUGGCUUCUACAAACUGACUCCCUACCCUUCUCUGUCUGCAUUUACCCAAACAGGCUGACCUCUAUUGACUGAAUCACCCAGGCUCACUAGCCUCAUAAAUAAAAACGGAUAACUUCUUUUUGAUUUGUUUUGAUAAUAAUAUUUUGAUACUGAUAGGCUACAAUGCCCGCUAGAAAUUUAGGACCUAUAUCAUGAUAAUCUGGAUAAAAUUCAAGACACUUUAAUUUAUACUUCUGAUUAAGUUAGGAAUAAAAAAGUGAAACAUUUGAAUUGGUACCUACAAAGUAAAAUAGAAAUUCAGGCACUCUGUUUGGGUGGAACAUGACUUACAUUUGAAGAAAAUACAGAAAUAGGAGACCAGUUCUAUAUUUUUUUUCCUACUUCAAGAAAAUAGUUUAACUAUUCUGUGUUUAUUUUAAAUAAAAGCAAAAAUGCAGAUUACAAGUCCAUAUUUUUUCUUUUAUCCGAACCUCUAUUUCAGAAUAGAAUUGCAAAAAUAAUGCUACCCCACUGUGUAAAGGAAAUGAGAAAUGGAUAGACCAUUAAGGAGGAGUGUGAAUUUAUAUAGUGCAUUAGCAUCAAAGGAUAUAGCAUGGAUAUGCCUUAAAAAUUCAGUUUAAUGACACUUGGAUUUGUAUUGCUGGCUGUCUUAGAUGUUAAAUCCCUGAUGAGGUCAUAAGUGUAACCUAUCUUGCGAAAAACCUCUGAGAUGAUUUUUUUCCUUAUCAGUUUUUCACUUCGUUUAUGCAGUUUAUUUAACAAUGAAGAAAUAGUUUACAUUAAACACUCUGAACACAGGAAAUAUAAUAGCAUAUAAAUUCUUAUCUGACUAAACCAUAGCAAAGUCAGAUAAAAAUUGCCUAUGUUGUUUGAGAGUCCUAUUUCCACACAUUUUUUUUUUUGUCCAGCACCUAUUAUUACUGAGGAUUAAAGGAAGACAAUAGAAUUCUGUCUCUCUUUUUUUACCCCAUUCUCCUUUCAUAUUGCCUAGCCACUGCCCUACCGUAAAAAUAGAAAAGAGUAAAUUGGUGCAGUCAUAAAAUUUUAUACAGAUGCAUACAUAUAUUCAAAUGUAAAUUUUAGGUUUUCUCAGGCUUAAUUAUAAAAACAAUGUUUGUGUUUGAUGCUUUUAGUAUCCAGUUGUCAUGAUUUCAGAAUUGGUGAAAGAUGGUUUUCAAUGGCUUUUGAAAGUAAAUGAUGCCCAAUUGAUGAACAGGUCUGAAUUCAAAUAAAGAAUACUUGUC